UUUAGUUUUAAUUGAGAUUUCAAGAUAUCUUUUUUUUUAUACAUGGGGAAAUCCUCAUGAACACCCCACUGCUCUUCUAGAAAGCGACGGGGUAGUGUAGGACUAUAUCGACUAAAACCCCAUGGUGGUCCGUCUGACUCUCAACAGGGAUAUAAAUAUAUCUAGACUAGGUCCAUUUUGUGAGCGCUUUUUCUACAAAGAUGCAUUGUUUAAUUUAGAACGAAAAGUUGGAAGCUUUUUUAUAUAAUCCUUUUAAAUAUUAAAUUAUUAAAUAGAGCAACUGGUUUGCCAAAGCAUUUAUAGUUUUAGUUAAAAAAUUUUGCUCGAAUAUAACGUUGUACUUUAGAUUAGUAUCUCUUUAAUAUCUACCUUUAGUCUAGCUUUGCUUACAAGUAGGUUUUAGUUCUAAAAUUUAGAUUAAGUUAAUUUUAAACACGAUCGUUGGUCGGCAAGAGACAAUGGGGAAUUUAUUCUUUGUCGGAAGUUUUAAAGGUUACCCUUAAGUCUGAUUUUUAAUUGUUGUUAAGUUAUAGCUGCAAAGUUAGCUUUAAGCCUUAGUUUCAGUACAUUUGCGAAGAUUGAUGUCCUUGGCCGAUAUACAGGGUGGUUGGCAACUGGUGGUACAAGCGGAAAGGGGGCCAUUCUACGCGAAAAAAGAAGUCGAAAAUAUAGAAUAAAAAUUUUUCGUUUGGGACUUUGUUUUCGAGAAAAUCGACUUUGAAUUUUCGCGUUUUAUUCGCGAAUUUUAUAGAAAAACAAAAUUUGUUACACGGAAACGUUAUUUGAAUGCCUAACAUGAAUGUGUUUUAAAUAGAAUUACGUAGAUCACAAUUAUUGUAAUUUUUUAUUAGUUUAUAUGACAAUAUAAGUAUAAAUAUUAAUUUACCGAUAGAAAAUGUUACAGCAACGUUUUAAUUAUUACGCAGAGAAUAGUAUACAGUUUUAUGUAUGUAUAUGUACAUUAAUCAAUUACAAUUGUUACAUUUAAAAAUACGCAUUGUUUAGUAUAUUACAUAUAUAUAAUUGUAAAUUAGUAUGAUAAAAAGUUAAAAUACACAGGCGAAGAAAGGUGUAGAGAAUUAACAGUAAUGGCAGUCGUACAAAAACGUUUGUAAUUUAAUAUUCAUUCAAAUAUAUCCGACGAUAGUCACGCGAGAAUAUAAAUGAUUCGCAAGAAGUUAAUAACCUUAUUGGAGAUUCUGUUCUUCUUCAUUUUACUGCUUUAUCUAUACAAAUGCUUAACCAAUUGUUGUAGCAAAUUAGAUUGCAUCAUUAAUGAUAUCUGUUCCUAUUCAGACUCCUCAAGUAGGAAAUUAGUACUGUGCUUAUCGCAUCUGUAUCUUUAAUCAUACUACAAACAAACGACUUAAUAAACGACUACAUAUACAGGGUGUUUCGUUUAUCCUGUCCACUUUAAUAUCUUUGUUACUUUUGCGGAUACGAAACGGAGUAGGAGGAAAAAGUUGUUCGGUUUAGAACAGCAAAUAUUCUGAUUUACGUCUUUUCUCUUUAACAUCACUCUUCUUCGAAUUUUCAAGGUCAUUAAAGAUUUCUGUAAAAUAAUGGCACAUUUUUAUCAUCGUAUUAUCAUAGCUGAUAAGAGAUGAAUUUCAAACGUGUAGAUACGUUGAUCUUGAAGAGAUCUUGAGUAGAAAAUUCAAGAUAAUUUAAAGGGAAUUAACAAAUUGUAUAAUUUCUUGUUUCUGCCCUAAAUUUGUAUCACUUUACAAGAAAAAUUCGAUAUGAUGUCCGUUCGUUGAAGGGGAGAAACACGAAUCGCAAUAUUUGUCGUUUUAGAGCGAACAACAUUUUCCUCGUAUAUUUUUUCGUAUCUGCAAAGGUGACGAAAUAUUGAAGACGACAGGAUAAACGAAACACCCUGUGCAUGUAUACACGUACAUACUUUCAUCUACAUAGUUUAAAACCAUCGAGUCGUCAUAUUAUUGUGUUUUUUAAAGAUUUAGUAACAAUUUUCUUGAAAUUUCACGGAAAUCCAGUAGACUGUCAAAGUCAUGAAAGUUUACAGUAGCAAAAUAUAAAUAUGUACAUAUAAUAUAAUACAGUAUACCACGGUACAGUAUAGUAUAGAAAUAAUUAUAAGAAGACGAUGUAUUCUGUAUACGUGAUGCGAGGAACAGGAAAAUGAUGGGCGCAAAUCUGUGAAACGCUGAGAAACAUUUUUAUGGUCAAAAAAUUAGUUAUUAAAAAAUCGUUAUUAUAAAUGCAUCAAUGAAUAAUUAAACAGGAAACAUGCCCAUUAAAUAUAUGUAUGUAUGCAUUCUUCUUGGUACAUUUUCGAUUAGCAGCACAAAUAUUUCAUAAACUCAUUUUCUGUAUUACACGUAUGCUAAUGACAUAUCUCUUUAUGUCAUUAUUUAUAAAUUAUUGCCUACAAUUUUCCUCCAUAUUCCUGAAAAUGGAAAAAUCGAUGCUAAAUUCCUGUAACUUUCUAAUGACUGCUAGUUUACCAGAGACCUAUUUGUUUAUUUAUUUAUUUCGUACAAGAAAUAUUUUACGAAUGACACAUGAUUUGACAACUUCGUUUCUUUUAAUGUCAAUAAUACACACUUAUGAAUUAUGAUAGAUACUGAAGGUUUAUCUAUCUAGCUUUUUUUUCUUUUGUUAUUUAACCUUAGAAUAAGACCUAUCUGUAGAAUCUGUCCUAUUAAACGCAAAUAUCCAUUAAAACUGUGAUAACAGAAUGCAAUACGUAUGUACUUUAUAAGUAAUUCUUUAAUUUAUGGAUUCCUUCUGUUGUGACAAACUCAACCAGAUUAAUGAAAUUAUAUUAUAAAUUUACAAAGGCGAUUAUGUAUUGAAGUAUUAUUACUAUCCUUUAUACGUAUUUAUUCACACAUACACAAAUUGGACGAUGCGUGGCAAUCAUAUUGCACGUAUAUUCGAAACGAUAUAAAUCGCAGUUGUAAAGUUUUCUAUUCGCUUUAGCAUUAACGUGUGAGAAUGGACAGAAAAUAGUUUAUUACAGUACACUCAAGUAUUAUCAUAAUUGAGAAAAAUAAUAGCGAAAUAGUACAUAUUUAAUUAAAGAUGAUAGAAUUACGUACUACGUUUUAAGGGAAAUGGUUAUGAAGAUAAAGAAAGAAUUAUCUGGCCGGAACUUUUUGACACGAAAACAAUAUUCGACGUAACAAAACAACGAAUUUGAUAGCAGUAACGUCUUUUCCAAUACUAAAUUCGACAUACAGAAUUGGAAGGAAAUGUUUACUGGUAUAUUGUACUAAUAUUGCACUUUUAUGUACAUUCACGUGACAUUUUGAUGUGCCAAGUAUUUGUAGGAAAAGAAACACAACUUUGUUAGUAUGUUUCUAUACAGUCAGUGGAGGAAUACCUAUCAUUUUGUGAGAGGUAAGCGUGUUAUAUUUAUAGUUUUAAGUCAAAUUUUAAAGAAACAUUAAAAUGUGAAUUUCAAUAUGACAAGUUAUCGUAAUUGAUGCUAUCGUAAAUUACAUAAUAUGAUGGAAACAUACAGUAAGAAAAAUAUGUUUUCACUUUUUGUCAAUGAAAUUGUUAUAUUUACUUCAUAUUGAUUCAUUUGUAAGCACGUUAACUAUAGUUAAAGGCUUAUCGAUUAACAACUCACGUUUUAGAAAAUAAUGUACUCCUUUAAUAAUUGUUAGGUAUAUUCAUAGAUUUACGCUUACAAGAUCUUCAACACUUGGUAAUAAUGACCAUAUUUGCAGUAAAGGUUUCGUAUCCAAAAGCUACUGAUAAAUGUUUAUAGUUUCAUAGUCACAUAUGGUUAUCAUAUUAUAUACGUAUAGAGCGUUAAAAGAAUGUAUUUUUUUAUAAUCUCCACCUAAAUUGUACGCUAUGAAUAGAAGGAAAUGUAAUUUCUAAACAGUAACAUGUGAAUAAUUUAUUGAUAUUUGUCAGAAAUAUAUCUUAAACGCAAUAAAAGGAAUGCAUAAUAUUAGUAUUAUUUCAAUUAAUUACGUUGAAUAAAAGUUUCACGUGUUAAAGGUUUCCGAUCAAAUAUAAUAAUGUUUCGAAUACAUUUCUGCAUUUCUUUUCGUAAAUUUCUACUUAUAACAUGGCAGUAAAGCUAGAUAUCGUAUAAGAAACAUACAUUUUUGCGUUUUCUUCUUUUUUUGCAUUAUUUUACUUCGUACGAAAUGCGACUAAUUAUAUAAUUCAAUUUUAUAACAGGGAAAAAGGAGUCUACAAAUUUCUAUAUAGGAUGACUCAUUUAAAGAAAAUAAUAUCAAAUUUGUAAGUAUAUAUAAUCCUAGAGGGUAUCACAUUAAUUUACAACCGAAUACGUGAUUCAAUAUUUGGCACGAUGAUUUGUUUGCUCUAAUUUGUGUAUAAUAAUGACACAAGUACUUUAUGUAAUUUUUAAAAUUAUUAGUGUUAAUUAGUCCUUACUUUAGGAUAGAGUUCCACAUCACACAGUCUUUCGCACCUUAUUCGUAUUGGUCAAGCAGUUACCUAUUUCUUUAUUCUUAAAUACAUAUACAAUAUUUACAUAAUCUUCAUAAACAUUCUUCCUUCACUUUUUCAAGGCAAUGGUUGUGGGAGAUAAAACUAUAUGAAGAAAUUUUCCUCUUCUGGUCUAUCGUGAGAUUUUGUGUACAUUAAUCUUUAUAUAGAAAUAAAUCGAAAGUGAAAAAUUAUUAUCUUGGAAACUUAAAGUAUGAUAAUUUAUAAAAAUAUGUUAAAAUUAAAAAAUAAAGAUAAAUUAAUUUCUGUGACAUUUUGCUAAAUGCAAGUUAGAGGACUUAACGAAAGUUGCUUUAAUAAUUUUGUUGGAAAUAAUAUGACAACAAAGAAGAAAUUUACAACCAGAAAUUAUUUAUUGCAAAAAGAAUGGAAUGUAAAAUGCAACAUAAAGCUUACGUAUAUAGGACACUUUCUCAGUUAAAAAAAGGUGAUAAAUAAUUAAUUUCAUUAUCAACAAUAUGGAUGUGCUUUCAUUUAAAAAUCCUGUACACGAUAAAAUCGUGAAAUCGAUGUGUAUUUAGAUUUGAAAUGGAAUAUUUUCUCUACUCAACUUGAAAUAAAUAAAAUUUUCUUUCUUUUCUUCUACCAAAUUUGAUACAGGUUCAAAUAUGAUAUUGUACAUUAUUUAGAUGUUCCUAAAGCUAUCAUAAAUUUCAGCAUAAGUUUCGCUAGUAUCGUCGUCAAUUUUGACAUCGUUCCACUUUUAAUACACGAUAAUUAAUUUAUUAGGUUUCCUAUCAAAACACAAAAAGCAGUAACAUUUAUAGCAUUUCAGCAAAUACAGACCAAUUUACGAUACAAAGAGGAUGUGCCACGUGUACAGAGGAUUAUGGAAAAAUCAAUUUAUUCUUUUCAAACAUCUAGUACCGAUUGCGAAUCGUUGAUUCAUAAAAAAUGAGUAUACAUAAAUAUUUGGCUGACAUAAAAAGUACAUAUAAUCCUAUCAUGUAAUAUGUUUAUGUAGUCUGUAUUUUAAAGCACAGAAAAUUAAUGUUUCUCUGUUGGUCAUUGCAGCGACCGCUUUUUUAUAACAUUGUGGAAAAAUGCACAAUACAUAUUAACGGUCGACGUGUUGGAGUUACACCAUACUUGACUACUACAAAUAAAAAUACCAGAAAUUGCACCCUUAGAUGAACACUCGAAGCAAAUUCUUCAAACCAAAAUAACUGGCAGAUGUAUAGAUGAAUAAUCCAAAAGUGUCAGUGAAAUUCAAAAUUUGUUGAAAAAGAAUACAGCAAAUUAUGCAAUCAAAGUAUCAAACCUUAGCUUUCUAUUACUUCAAGCCAUCCAUCAGGCAAGUGCUGAAUUUCAUCAGCGAAAAAUGCCGUGUCCUCGGACCAGAUUCGAUCGUUGUGUCAUUUUUCUGUCUCAUCCGCUAAUUGAAACUUCGUAUCCGAAGAAAUAAUGUCUAGUGAAUAAGCUAGCUGCUGCAGGAUGUCCCGAAAAGAUGCAGCCAAGUCAGUACCGAUGAAUUCCUCCAAAAUUCCCAUUAGAAAUCUCAAGGAGCACGUUAAGACGGUAGCAAGAGGAAACACCUACGACAUCGUGGCCGAAGAAGGCUUCGGAUUCAACUGUUUUUAAUUGCCAAAGGAUUUAAUUGUUUUUCUACAUUUCCAUGACCAAAAGGCCAAAUCAUAGUAUGCGGAGGAAAACUAAAAACGAGAAAUUAUAAUGGCAACCAAUAGGUGUAGGUCAGGCCAUUACAACCUGGGCAUCUCAUCAGCCUGGACAGGUAUAAUAAGCGACCCUAAGUGCCAGUGUGGUCAUGAAAGUCAGGAUUGAUAGAUCGUGUAUUGUGGCAAUGCCAUUUUUGUUACUAUUUAAUUAAUCAACUAUUAACUAUUCAUUAGGCAACUCCAAAAAUUACUGUCUCCCAUUCUCAUGUAACGUAGUAUUACACAAUCGCGCAAUAGCGAUUUGCAAAGUCAUACGCUCAUCCUUGGAAAGCUGUAACAUAUCGAUCUGAUUAUAAUAUAUUAAAUAUUAUCAAUUUAUUGAUAUCAAGAUACGAAUAUUCCAAGUUCAUAUACGUAAACUACGUGUAAUGUAAGCAACGCAAAUAAUCUCGGUGGGGACUAAAUUGGUUGAAUACGAAAAGCAAACAUGUCCCAUCCGAGACUCCUUAUGAUGUGAUUCGUCGUGGAAGCAGUACGUGCUCUGCACUUAUCAGUGUCCUGACGAUCGGAUCUUCUAUGAUGAAUGUAAAUUCUAUAAAUGAAUCUAUAAUGAAUCCAAAGACACAUUUUCUCGUGAUGGAAUUCAUCACUUGCCUAAAUAGGUGGCUUGAAGUUAUAAAAGGCAGCGACAAAUACUUUGAUUGAACUACUUGCGGUAUUUUUUCGAUAUACAGCUCUGAGCUUUGGACUUUGAGCACUGAAGAUUAUUCAUUUCAUUGGAUUAUUCAUUUGUACACCUAUUAUUAACUCUACUUUGCGUUCCUCGGCUCAUCCUCGUCUCGAUCCUGUAUACUUCCAGCGUUAAAAAGUUUCCUCAGUUCAGAGGAAAUAUGAAACAAUCGUUACUGAUAUGCAAAUUCCUUCUUUGAAUAUUAUGUUACAAAUUUUCCUAGAACGUUAAAAGCGUUUGUAUCUGUCGACAUAGGGACGAGACGGAAAAAUCGGAGAACCGCAGUAGGGUUAAUAAUACGUCAGAGAAACUUAAACAAAUACGCAUAUACUUAUUACGUGAUCCGUAUAUUCUUCGUCCAAAGAUGAUCUAUCUUGCGAAGAAUAUCGGAUCAGGUUGGCAAAUUAAGUUAAUAUACAUAACUAUACGAAGUUUUAAUUAGUCAUUGCAUUCAGCAUAGUUUAGAAGAUAUAUGUAUAUGCUGAUGCUGAUACAAAGCGCACAAUUUGUCUUGUUUUGCUUAUUCGAUUGUACGGAAUGAUCAAGAGCUUCGUUAUAACAUUUCGCUUGUUAAAAGAAUUAUAAAUGAGUCCAUAUGUUAAUCAGAUUUUAUAGAAACUAUAUUUCUAUGAACGCUGUUGUAGUUGUAAUUUUAAGUUUCUGAAACUAUUUAAAAUACUUUAUUUAGUACAUAGACAGAGUCGGAUCUUAAUAGGUAGUUACUUAAUUAACAAAACAGUUUUAGAUACAUGACAGAUUUUUAUAAUGAGAUAUCGAGAAUUAAUAAAUGAAUUAACUAUAUAAAA
Molecule: long non-coding RNA, 7613 nt
Organism: Bombus huntii
Lineage: Eukaryota; Metazoa; Arthropoda; Insecta; Hymenoptera; Apidae
Exons: 2
Source: RefSeq, a predicted model, not a curated record